This 602-nucleotide long non-coding RNA is filed under the name Nicotiana benthamiana. Its description in RNAcentral is "long non-coding RNA (NBEN_LNC034975)". The record is from RNAcentral. Lineage: Eukaryota; Viridiplantae; Streptophyta; Magnoliopsida; Solanales; Solanaceae.
CUAAAUAUAAGCCUACAGCUAAAUAUCUUUUUUCUAAACCCUAGAACUUUAAGACAUCGCUUCCUUCCUUCCUUUCCCUUCUUUGGCAAAGAAUCUAUACUACCAUGGCUAUAGACAGAUCAUGUUCUUUUUAUUUUCGAUCAAAAUUUUGCUCAUCUCUCUUCGCCUAUCACAAUGAAUCAAGGACCCAUUCGUUUCUUUCUUCUUUUUAUUUUUUGAGGACAAAGAUAAUUUGAGAGUGGACUCGGUACAGACUAGUAUCACUAUUUUUUACUCCCCUCAGUUUAAGGCUUCGACUAUCAAAAUAUUACGUGAAGCCUCUCCCAAAUCUUUUUUUCGGAGUUAUGUUGAUACAAACAACUAAUUUCUUUCAACGUUUGUAUUCUCUCUCAAGCUUCAAUUCGAAAUCCAAAAGGGCAGUUUGAAACGACCUCUAAGCCUGAGUUUCACUGCCUAGUAAAAGGUAAAUUUGACUACACUCUGUUUAUUUUUAUAAUUAUUAAAAUACUGUAUUUUAGAAAUCAUGAUUUAGUAUCAUUGUAGUAGAAAGUAUUAUUUAUGCUUGUUGGGUCUUUUUAGUUAUGAAUCUUGAAUAGUAGUUU